AUCUUGUUAGCCGCAAGGCGAAGCUCGGUCUUUAAGUCCCAGUGAAUGUCGGCCGUAACUAUAACGGUCCUAAGGUAGCGAAAUUCCUUGUCGGGUAAGUUCCGACCUGCACGAAUCGUGUAACGACCGAACGACUGUCUCGGAGAGGAUCUCGGCGAAACUGUAACGGCGGUGAAGAUGCCGCCUGCCCGCAGUAGGACGGCAAGACCCUAUGCACCUUUACUGUAAGCUCGUAUUGUGUCUUGAUUAUUCAUGCGUAGCGUAGGUGGGAGACUUCGAAGCGGGGGCCUCGGUUCCCGUGGAGUCGCAAUGUGAAACACCACUCUUGGCUAAUUAGGAUUCUAACCUCACUCUGUCAUCCAGAUGAGGGACCGUGCGUGCGGGUCAGUUUGACUGGGGCGGUUUCCUCCGAAAGAGUAACGGAGGAGCGCUAAGCUUGGCUCAGCAUGGUUGGCAACCAUGCGUCGAGCGUAUGGGUAGAAGCCAGGUUAACUGUGAGACCAACAAGUCGAGCAGGUGCGAAAGCAGGCCCAAAUGAUCCGACGGUUUAAUGUGGAAUUGCCGUCGCUCAACGGACAAAAGGUACGCUAGGGAUAACAGGCUGAUCGAGUCCAAGAGUUCAUAUCGACGACUCGGUUUGGCACCUCGAUGUCGACUCGUCGCAUCCUGGGGCUGAAGAAGGUCCCAAGGGUCCGGCUGUUCGCCGGUUAAAGCGGCACGCGAGUUGGGUUCAGAACGUCGUGAGACAGUUCGGUCCUUAUCCACUGUGGGCGCAGGAAACUUGAGGGGUUCAAAUCUUAGUACGAGAGGACCAGAUUUGACGCACUUCUGGUGUGGCAAUUGUCGCGUCAGCGGCAGCGUUGCGUAGCCAUGUGCGGAAGAGAUAAGCGCUGAAUGCAUCUAAGUGCCAAGCUCAUCCCAAGAUAAUGUUUCCCGAACCGCAAGGUUCCUAAAGACCCCCGGCAGACUACCGGGUUGAUAGGUUAGGCGUGUAAGCGGAGUGAUCCGUUCAGCGGACUAAUACUAAUCGGUCGUGCGGCUUGAUCGC
RNAcentral lists this ribosomal RNA (1048 nucleotides) under Verrucomicrobiota bacterium. RNAcentral's name for it is "Verrucomicrobia bacterium (wastewater metagenome) partial 23S ribosomal RNA". It matches the Rfam family "Bacterial large subunit ribosomal RNA", at positions 1884 to 2925 of the family's 2925-position model. Lineage: Bacteria; Pseudomonadati; Verrucomicrobiota. The record is from RNAcentral.